GGAAAAAAAAAUCGCCCACCGCCACCUCGGUAAAGACGAAAGAACAUUAGCCCAGAACUGAAUGCAAGUCACCAUGGCAGCAGCAAGUGUUGUGAUUGAUGGCGCUCUUAUGGAAGGUGGAGGACAAAUUUUGAGAAUGUCAACUGCUUUCAGUUGCUUAACCAAACAACCAAUCGUAAUAAACAACAUCAGAGCCAAUAGGAGUAAACCAGGUCUACG
Molecule: long non-coding RNA, 219 nt
Organism: Anneissia japonica
Lineage: Eukaryota; Metazoa; Echinodermata; Crinoidea; Comatulida; Comatulidae
Exons: 3
Source: RefSeq, a predicted model, not a curated record